ACCCAAAUGGGAUUUGCCAUCAGGAAACUGUUCCAGAGGUAGCGGGGCCGGACACUUGCCGCAUACGGGGCCACGAGCCCUGUGCCAGUCCCCCUCCUGACAGUCCUGCUAUGGGCCGCUGGGGGCACAGGAAACGCAGGAGACCAUCCUGUUGUCAGGGGCGGAGCCAAUUUCAUCAUCGUCGUUACCACCUGUCCUCACGUGCUCUCGACCAACACAGCACUAAAUGGCUGAGUUCUUGCAAAUUGUCCCUUUUCCAGAAAAUGAGUAAAAACUACACUUGGAAGUAUCCUAGAAGAGUAGGCUAUGAUGCUGGUGUGCUCAAGACGUUUUGGGAGAAAAGAAUUGAGCUUCACACAAAACAGCAGCAAAGCGAGGACAUGAGGCUCCGCCGGAGUGCCUUGGACAGGCUCCGCAGCGAGUGGGCUCAGAAGCUGGAGAAGAGAAACGAGAUGCUGCAGAGCUCGAGGGAGGCACCCCAGCCCUCGUCCCUGCUGGGAGUCCAGCCCGUCCGCGCCCCGGACAAGACUGCGGCCUGAACCGCGCGGAGCAGAGAUGCCGUCCGAGCCCCCAGGGGUGAGUGGGCAUCUUCCUCAGAGUCACCGAGACUCUCACCUCGUUGAUGCUCUGACAACCUAGCUUUUGGCUCACGCUGCGCUGAAUGCUGCCGUGGAACAGCUUUUCCAGCACAUAGUAGGUGCCCAAUAAAAUCUAAGGCGAUUGGAGUGAAUGCUGUGUGCAAAAUUUUCUUCAUAUCUUUAAAAUUUACAUGUAUUAAAAGCUUACCAUGAUAUUAUUAACUUGCAAAGAGCCCGUUAUUAACUUGCCGGGUCCCGGGGUUUUCUGACCUUCUCCUGCCUGCACACUCAUUUCACCUUUGAUCAAAAUAUGUGCACAAGUCCCACUAAGGAUAACACCUGACCUGACAUUGUAUAAAGUUUGCUGCUUUUCCAGAAUUCCUUUAAAUACUUCAUUGGUGACCCAGAAUAUCUCAGAAAACUAAGCGUCCUUAUUUUUAUAAUUGGAAAAGUUCAGUUGGAGAGACACACAUUUCCUGAGUCCACAAAGGCCAUUAGAGUCAGGAUUUGAUGCUUUACACUCAGUGGUGUCCCUCCUGGCGCCCCGGCUGUGGCCAUGACCACCUGGACGGGCAGGAGGGCAGAGCACACAGCAGAGGCCAGGCCACCGGAGGACUUGGGGCCUGUCUCAGCUACCAAUGGGGACCAGGACUCAGCUGGUGCCGACCCAACUCCACAGCCCAUGUGCUCACUUGAGCAUGCCCUGCGGUAAUCCACUGUGUCCCGUCCUUGGUGACACAGACACUGCCGGUUUGGGGGCUGGUAUCCAGCUUGUGGCCCCUCUGGAAUCUUGCAUCAUCUCUCCAGGCUUAACUGCUUACUGGUUUUGGGCUCUGUUUUGUUUUGACCGUCCAAUCAAGUUGGCCCGGAGAGGGAAUGAGCGCAGCUUCACUGGCUGUGGGCGGCUCUCCAGGGAGUUAACCAGAGAAAAAAAUGGUGAUGCCGAUAGCCAAGUGGUGUUCUGUGCCCAACGCAGACUCUUCAUGGGGCAUUUCCAGAGCUCACCACUCGGACUGGGGAAAGGCCCGGAACCUGCACAGAGCAUGGCUGUGGGGCUUGCCAAAUGAACGAGUGGAGAAAAGCCAGACGCCCCUUUAGACCGACCAUAAACACAAGUUCCCUUGGUCCCCUGCCCCGGGGUGUGUGUCAUCGCCCGUGACUCAGGAGAUUCCAUUGAUAAACACCCUGGGGAAAUAAUAGCCCUAAAAAUAGCUGGAGAAUAGAAGUCACUCGCUAAUACUCGCAAAGCCCCAAGCUGCCGGAGGGUAAUUUUAUCUGACGACAUACUUAGUACAUUGUUACCGCCAACACCAAUAAACUGAGGCCCUGGGUCAGACAGUUUGGGGUGAAAGGGCACAUUCAGGCAGCAGUCCCAUUGUGAGGCUAUGCAGAACCUUCCAGAACAGCCACACCCUCCUUGCUGCCUGUCAUGAUCUCAUUAUUCUCCAGUGACCCAUUCGCCAUCCCAGUAACGGCAGAAGCCAAAAUCGCAUGAACACCAGGCAAUUUGCAGACCACAGCUUUGCCGUCUUUAUCAUCCAUCUCUCUUGGGGCAAAGCUGAGCUGGACUCCGAGGUUGGAAGGCGCUCAGUGAGGAGGAGAGAGUGGGAAGAAGACAGGCUGGCCUCGCAGGAGGGAAGAGGAAACUGAGACACAGAGAAAUGAGGACGUGGCUCAGACCAUUGCUCUCUCAUGGGACCUGGAGUAGGCGCCUUGCCGGACUGAGAUUACGGGUACCUGUGAUCCAUCUACUGAGCUUGCUGACGCUUCUCUACAACAGUCUUGCUGCUCAGAUCUGACGUUUAUUUUCAAACAACAGGAUGAUGCCAGCUUGCUGGUUCGUUUCUGUCCUGCUAAAUGGUUGAAUGGUUUUCCAUACCUCGCACCAAAUUUUGGCAAAUUGAAUAUGGUUGACUAGAACGAUAUACCUCUGAAUAUUAAAAGUAACUCUGAAGUUGUGGCUCCUUGUUUUUCAUAACUGAGACAGUGUUGGGAAGUUAGGACAACACACCCUGGAGGCAAACUGCCCAGAUGACCACUCAGGGCUGCGUGGCCGGGGCCUCUCCUCAGCCCGCUGUGCCUUGGUUUCCUCAUCAGUAAGAAGAACAGAGGACCACAACCCCUUAUUCAGAUGUACUUGGGACUCAGAAUAUCUCCACUUCUGGAAGGUACCACAGAGCACAUCCCGGAAGUUCCCUAACACCUGUCAUCAGGCAUCCCAGUGUUUCUGCUGGGAAAACGCAUGGGAGGUUCCUCCCGCUGGGACAUGAGAAGGUCUUGCUGCCAAGGGAGCUACAAAAAAGGCUUCCAGUUUUCAGGACAAUUUGGACUUGGGAGUUACAGAAGAGGGCCUGGGGAGCUGUGGCGGGGAAAAGCAGGGCAGCCGGCUCACGUCCCGAGGUGCCGGCCUAUGGCUCUCUGCAGCGCAAGCCGCGGGCAACGCGGGUCAUCGCGGGCGGUACCCAUGACAGUUCGCGGGAGAGCAGAGCUGGCGGCACCCGCUGCUCCCUGCGGAGGCCUGUCUGGUGUUGGGGUCUGAGUUCCACUCCAAGGUGCAGAAAGGAAAACUCAAUCAAGAACAGAGCAGCUUAAAUGUGGACAGCGUCCCUAGACAUCGCCGGCUGUGUCCUGUCUCCUUUUUUUCAGUGCGUCUUUUCAAAAUGAGAGCCUUUCCCUGCCUAGCCAAAAUUAAAUUACCAUACUUGACAAUACGUAAAGAUUCCUUCACAUCAGCCAAGAUUGAGUCCAUCUUCAAAGGUCCCCAGUUGCCCAAAAGUUCCUGUGACAACAGGUUUGUCCGAACAAGACCAUGCAGGGAACCUGGUGACGUCCCGGACUGACUCGAGGAGACUGCUGUCCCGCGGAUGCCCCGCUUCUGACCUGGGGGUGCUGCCUUGUGCUGUGUUUGCUCCUCUAUCCUCUCUCGUUCCUUAAGAAUGGAAAUUCACUCUGAAGGCUGGACAUGUUCAAGAUGGACACUGGGCUGGGCCACCUCUCACAGAGGACCCGCACGUGGGCUCCGCCGUGAGGCCGGGUGUGAUGUCUGUGCAGAUCCACCGGCCUCCCUCUCUCUCUGAAACCAGACGAGUAUCCGGGUCCCCACAGGCCCUCAUCUGAGCGUCUCAACACAGAUUCUAUCCUUGGCCUCAUCAAUCUUCUCAACAGGGAUUGACAAGGAUGGUUUUCUAAUGCUGUCACUCCUCCCUCAUUAUCAGCCAACAUUCCUUUUUAAAGUGGGUCUUUCCUCACAACCAGAGUGCCCUGGUUCUGCCGACAUUCGGUGCCUAGCAGGAAGCAGGAAGCAGGAUAAUGCUUAAAUGUUUCCUUUGGCCAACAAUAUUCAACAGGAAGAGCUGGUUUAAUGUCCAACUUUCUCUCGUGUGAGAGCGAUUAUGGAAUAGUGGAUUUACACAGGUCAGAUGUAGUCAGUCAACCCUGAGCAACAUUCUUUUUGAUGCUCAAAGUGUCACAGAUUUGACCAGUGGGACCUUUUUCAAAUUGGCCUGUUGUCUUUUUGACAGAACUCCAUUAAUCCUUGAAAGCUCUCUUGCUGUCUGGAACAACAAACUGUUCUGAGUUCAUUGUGUGCUCAUUAUGUGCAGAAGAGAAAAUGAAUAAACAAACUGUGGUAUAUUUGAUAGUAAAAUAAUAUUCAGAAAUAAAAAGUAGCAAACUGCUGAUACAUGCGACCAUGUGGCUGAGCCUCAGACCCCAGCCUGCACACCCGCCAGGCUAGAGAACCAUCCUUGGUUUUCUCUGCUCAGGCUCCUCCCCACCUUCACACAUGGUGUUAU
This is a long non-coding RNA of Equus caballus (horse), 4372 nucleotides long. RefSeq lists it as uncharacterized. The record is from RefSeq and is a predicted model, not a curated record. Lineage: Eukaryota; Metazoa; Chordata; Mammalia; Perissodactyla; Equidae.